AUUGAACGCUGGCGGCAUGCCUUACACAUGCAAGUCGAACGGCAGCGGACCUUCGGGUGCCGGCGAGUGGCGAACGGGUGAGUAAUAUAUCGGAACGUACCUUUCAGUGGGGGAUAACGUAGCGAAAGUUACGCUAAUACCGCAUAUUCUGUGAGCAGGAAAGCAGGGGAUCGCAAGACCUUGCGCUGAUUGAGCGGCCGAUAUCAGAUUAGCUAGUUGGUGAGGUAAAGGCUCACCAAGGCGACGAUCUGUAGCGGGUCUGAGAGGAUGAUCCGCCACACUGGAACUGAGACACGGUCUAGACUCCUACGGGAGGCAGCAGUGGGGAAUUUUGGACAAUGGGCGCAAGCCUGAUCCAGCCAUGCCGCGUGAGUGAAGAAGGCCUCGGUUGUAAG
This 395-nucleotide ribosomal RNA is filed under the name uncultured bacterium. RNAcentral describes it as "bacterial SSU rRNA". It matches the Rfam family "Bacterial small subunit ribosomal RNA", at positions 30 to 429 of the family's 1533-position model. The record is from RNAcentral.